Molecule: long non-coding RNA, 536 nt
Organism: Diorhabda sublineata
Lineage: Eukaryota; Metazoa; Arthropoda; Insecta; Coleoptera; Chrysomelidae
Exons: 2
Source: RefSeq, a predicted model, not a curated record
GAUUUCUAAUUAGUAAUUAUUAGUGUCAAUAUUUCGAAUGAACAUGGGUUUUAUUUGGUAGCGAAUAAUUACGAUUUAAUAUUGUUAUCAAUUAGUAAAUUAAAUUCUAAUUUGAGGCCCACGUGAUAUAAUGAGAAUUUAAUAUAAACCAUCGCUUAGCGUAUUUGGCAACAGUUUAGUAUUAUUUAUCGUACUAGUAAGAUUCUAUAUUCAAUAACAAUAUGAAGUUGGUAUUAUUAUUUGCAUUCAUUUUAUUCAUAGGAACGAUCAAUGCUGCUAUAAUUGGAUGCCCGCCAAAUUCAAAUUGGAAGGAAAUAGGAGGAUCUAACUGCUACACUCCUGUCCCUACAUGUCAAAAUCCAAAUCCAAAGCAUGUGGUUGAUCCGAAUGGAUGUUAUUUGAAUUUGAUAAGAGCCUGUUGGUGUGAUGAAGGAUACUUGAUGAAUGAUAACAAAUGCGUUCUCAAAGAAAACUGUUCUCAAUAAUAAAAUAUAAUGCUAAUUCAAUUUCUACUUCUGUAUAAAUAUAUUGAUUAA